Molecule: non-coding RNA, 311 nt
Organism: Pelobates cultripes (western spadefoot toad)
Lineage: Eukaryota; Metazoa; Chordata; Amphibia; Anura; Pelobatidae
Source: the annotation of a GenBank genome assembly
GGCUCAGCUGUCUGUAUCACUCUUUUACACUCUGUCCUAGAAGAAGGAGGAGGAGGGGGACGAGGGGUGUAAAAUCUGCACUUCUUUCUCUGCCUAAUUCCACAAGUCAUUUUAACCCCUUCAUUAUUGGUUACCCUCCUUAAGUUAUCCAAGAACAAAGCUACUUCUGUCAAAGUGCUUUUUUCUCUAGCUAACACAAUUGCAGUUGGAUCUAGAUCUUGAAAUUUUUUCACAAAUUCAUUAAUUAACUGAUCUUCAGAAAAAUCUGCAACAAGUCUAUAUGAACUUUCAAAUUUUACAAGAAAACUAAA